GCCCGCUUGGCUCACCGGUAGAGCGCCUCACUAGUAAGGUGAAAAAUUGAUUUGAUUAAAAUCAAUUUACCUGAAGUGAUGAGGAGGCAACUGGUUCGACUCCAGUAGUGGGCA
Molecule: non-coding RNA, 114 nt
Organism: Xylariomycetidae sp. FL2044
Lineage: Eukaryota; Fungi; Ascomycota; Sordariomycetes
Source: the annotation of a GenBank genome assembly